Dermatophagoides farinae (American house dust mite) is the source of this 163-nucleotide non-coding RNA. NCBI's taxonomy places the organism in Eukaryota, Metazoa, Arthropoda, Arachnida, Sarcoptiformes, Pyroglyphidae. The record is from RefSeq and is a predicted model, not a curated record.
ACGAAUUGGUGUGUGUGGCUCACACUUUAUACACAGAAUCCAGAACGUGCUGAACAGAAGGCUAAACUUGUAAUACAAGCUCAUAUUAUUGCAAAUUGAUCGAAUGAACUACGGAUAUGGUUCAUGUUUUUAAAUAAAUUUUAAUUCAUCAUUCUCUUUAUAA